Bradysia coprophila is the source of this 2314-nucleotide long non-coding RNA. The record is from RefSeq and is a predicted model, not a curated record. NCBI's taxonomy places the organism in Eukaryota, Metazoa, Arthropoda, Insecta, Diptera, Sciaridae.
UGACGUUUCGAAAAUGAACCUCUCCUGCCUGGUUUAUUUUACUCUGCCGUGCCAUGCGUCUUUUAAAAAUUUACAGCUUCGUUUUACUGUAUUGCUCCUGAAAAUUCUUAAAUCUCAUUCGAUCAACAGAAGCUACUUAUGGAGAACCACACGGUAGCGUAAGUUUAACCAGGCAAGAGGAAUCAAUCUAGGUUUCUUUUAUAGUAAAAAUAUAAAAAAAGCUGAGGAUAUUGAAUGAGGAUGGAUAAUCUCAGAAAGCGAGGACUUACGAAUAUAACUAAGCACCAAGCAUAGAUAAAAAUAGUAAAUCACGACAGUAUACCAUCAAUUUCACAUUUUGCAGUGUUGUACAAUUGACGUCGAAAUUACUCUAUUUGACAUUUAGGGAACAUACAACUUCUACGCUAGGUGCGUUGAUUUAUGAUCAUUUUUCAAUACUCUUGACAUAAAAUGUCGAAACAACACCUUGUCGAAUAAAUUUUAAUUUCGAUUGUUCCCUUUACUAAAAUAUCAACAAAACGAUUUCCAAUUCAGAAACAAUGGCACUUGUACAUAAUACAAAGUUUUUGCAGCAUACCACUCCAAAUAAAAUUUGAAACCAAAUAUGAAAAUAGAAAAAACUCAUUUGCUCUGCUUGUGAUAUAUAACUAAUAAAAAAUCGUAAGUGCAGGUGAAACCACACACAUUCACCAGCACUCUAUUGAAAAUGGAACAUAAAUUAUAAAUGAAAAUAAUAGGGGGAAAAUCCAUAAAAAAUAUCAAUGAAAUUCUAAACAAAAAUAAAUAAAUUAUUGUGUGUCGUUAAUAAAAUUGAUGUGAAUGUUGAUUUUUGUUUAACAAAAAGAAAACUUUUUUUAAAAAAAUUAUUGUGAGAUUAGGAAUAUAAAAAAAAUCAAUAGACGAAAAAAAACCAAAAUUAGUUUACUCUGAGUAAAGAUAGUUCGUGCAUAUAGUUCACUAAAUUAUUUAAUAAAAAUUAAAAAUCUAAAUAAAAAGCGCAUGAUGGUUGUAUUAAUUAUUAUUGUUAAUUAUUGCAAAUAAAAAAAAUCUUAUCAUCUAAGAGACACAAAAUGUGAAUACACCUAUAUACGAAACAAAAUCAGAGUUUCUUUCUAUGACGAUCACUCUAUAACGUUCUGAUUCCGACAGUACUAGAAUUUUUUAGUUGAUAAUGGCCGCAUCUCAAAAAAAUUUACAUUUCUUCCGCAGUGACGCAAAACAUCAACCAUUUGCACCAAGUGUUUAUGAUAAACAGUUUAUCGAACAAAACUUUUUGUAUUUUGAUUUCGAACUGAGCACCUCGAUAUCGAAAUGAACAACUACUGUUUCGCACUAGUGCGACAAAAAAAUAGUUGUCUCGUAAGAAUAGUAUUUUUCGUUACGAGUAAUGAAAAGACAAGCGUACGACUAGUCCUGAAAGGUUCAACUUUCAUCACGAGUCACAAACGACGAUUUUUGUGCUUGAAAACUGAAAUGAGACGAGACCACAACAACAUUAAUAAAGAAAUCACUCUACAACCAUUUCGACAACAAAGCAUCGCGGCCGGAAAAAUAUGUAUGAGAAUCCAUUUUCGGCCGCAAAUACCUUUCUCUGAGAAGUACAGAAAAAUCAAACUUUUCGAUCAUAGUUUGCGUGUCUACCUUGGCAAACUAUGUCCGAACUAGUGUUGAAAUUUCGAGUAUUUCUGGCAUCGUUUAGGAAAAAUGUUGUUCCUAACUUAUGCUGAAUUUUUUUUUUCGCGAAUUCGAUUCCAGAACUCAUCUCGUGCUGGAAACCUCUCUUUCGCUAAAAUAGCUUUCCAGCAUGCUUUAGGAAAAUAACAAUUUCUUAUUCAAAUCUAGAUAAAUUUUAUGUUUUCGUGGUGUAAAGAAUUAGUUUAGACAUACAAUGCGGCAAUGCUAUGUCUGUACUAGGAACGUUGCCAUCAACCAAUGAUCUUGAAGAAAUCUUUUAUCUUUUGCCCAAGCAGAAAUCGAAUAUAAAUUAAUGGAAAUUGAUGUAAAUUAUGGAAUAUUUUCUUUUUUGUAUCUGGCAUAGGCUUUGAUCUGAAAUAAUUAUAAUUAUAUUUAUGAGAAUAAUGUGACCAUUAUCAAUUAAAAAAAAAAAAACAAUUUAAUUCAACCAACAAGUAAUUGCUGUCACAUAAAACGUUGAAGAACAGCCGUAAAUUGUGCAAAAUCAAAACAUAUUUACAGCAUUAUUAGAGAACAUGUUAGAUUUUUGCUUUAAGAGAACUACAUAUUAAAAAUACGGAAAAUACUUAUAUAUUACCAUUUCGUGAUUGGCGGAUAAUUGUAUGUAAAAAUAAUAAUU